AGAAAGGGGCUUAACUGCAUUUUUUCUUACACAUGUGUUUUUCUUUUUUUGAAAACUUUGCUUUGGUAGGCCUUCUAUAUGGGGCCUGCCAGAGAUUAAACUCAACCAAAUUUUAUUUAAUGUCAACCGAUUAUUUAAUAGUCAAAACUUUCAACAACGGAUCUCUUGGUUCUCGCAUCGAUGAAGAACGCAGCGAAAUGCGAUAAGUAAUAUGAAUUGCAGAUAUUCGUGAAUCAUCGAAUCUUUGAACGCACAUUGCGCCCUUUGGUAUUCCAAAGGGCAUGCCUGUUUGAGCGUCAUUUCUCCCUCAAACCCUCGGGUUUGGUGUUGAGCGAUACGCUGGGUUUGCUUGAAAGAAAGGCGGAGUAUAAACUAAUGGAUAGGUUUUUUCCACUCAUUGGUACAAACUCCAAAACUUCUUCCAAAUUCGACCUCAAAUCAGGUAGGACUACCCGCUGAACUUAAGCAUAUCAAUAAGCGGAGGAAAGGA
Molecule: ribosomal RNA, 490 nt
Filed under: Lodderomyces parapsilosis
Lineage: Eukaryota; Fungi; Ascomycota; Pichiomycetes; Serinales; Debaryomycetaceae
Description: eukaryotic LSU rRNA
Rfam family: 5.8S ribosomal RNA (bases 146-299)
Source: RNAcentral